RNAcentral lists this small nuclear RNA (108 nucleotides) under Lingula anatina. Lineage: Eukaryota; Metazoa; Brachiopoda; Lingulata; Lingulida; Lingulidae. The record is from RNAcentral.
GUCCUCACUACGGUGGCACAUAUACUAAAAUUGGAACGAUACAGAGAAGAUUAGCAUGGCCCCUGGCGCAAGGAUGACACACACAUUCGUGAAGCGUUCCAUGUUUCU